CACAAAGACAUAACAAGAACGCGACAAUGGUUGACACAAAACUACCUCCAUUAUAUUUACCCUUUCAUUUUACUAAAAUCAACAUAAUUCACGAGCUCGCGAUUUAGCGAAAUUUUAAGGAUAUUGUCGAUAGUAGUGCUGCUCAAAUUGCAACGAAUAUCUUCAGCAGUAGUGUAAGGCUGAGAACGCUCUUUCUGCACUCACUUGUUAGCAGUAGCAGAUAAAAUAGUCAUUACUGCAUCAAACAUUUCAGAAACUAUUUUGCG
Bradysia coprophila is the source of this 266-nucleotide long non-coding RNA. Lineage: Eukaryota; Metazoa; Arthropoda; Insecta; Diptera; Sciaridae. The record is from RefSeq and is a predicted model, not a curated record.